Hippocampus zosterae (dwarf seahorse) is the source of this 7516-nucleotide long non-coding RNA. RefSeq lists it as uncharacterized. NCBI's taxonomy places the organism in Eukaryota, Metazoa, Chordata, Actinopteri, Syngnathiformes, Syngnathidae. The transcript is spliced from 2 exons. The record is from RefSeq and is a predicted model, not a curated record.
ACGCCCUCACGCACCUUCCUCCCCAGCCCCCCCCCCCCCCUGCCCCUUUUUGACAUCUCACGCUAUGGUGCGAUGUGCUUCCCUCUCCUGAUCCGGAUUAUCUGUCUGUGAUCAUUUUUUCAUCGUGGCAAAGCGUUCACCCAUUAGCGCGAUAAUUAGCACGGUUAGAGGCUACGGUAGCCGAGACAGCGAAGGCAAAGCGGGGGGCUCCAGCCUCGGGUAUGAAAGAUUUAUAAACAAGAGUGCACAGAAUUGCAGCCCACGCUCGUCUUUGCAGCGUGCGGCGGCUCCUCUUAAUAUCUCCUCAGCUGCGAAACUCAAAAGAUUUCAUUACCUCAAAGCGAGUCGAAAAAGAGAGCAAGAAACUCAAGAGUUGCACAUUUUGGUUUGCGAGGAGCGGCAAAGCAAAAGAGAUUGGGGGGGGGGGGGGGAGGAGGGUUUAAGGCUAGCGGGAGGUUUUGGAACAGAAAGCUUGACAAGGAGAGGGAAUGUCCCUUGUCAGCUACUUUUUCUUCUCUAAAAGGGACCCUCAUCCCCCCCUCUAUGAAAGCAGAAGGACUUUUUCUCGUGUCAAAUCUGCUUCAGACCCAACAUGUAAACAUCCUUGCUGAAUAGUCAGAUGCUUUAAUCAUAGAAUUGAAUCAGAUGAAUUAUGGAUGCCCCGUGUGGUUAAUUAUUCAACGUCAUAUACUUUCAUCUGACAUAAAUAUUACUUUUUUCUCCCCCACCACUCUAUAACCCCCCCCCCCUCCAUCAUGAAUAUUUAUGCUCUAAUGUGAGCAUCCGUGGCAUUUAUCCUCCGUUAAUCAGGUCUUAUGUGGUUUUCUUUCUCAAACGGCAUACGUUGCCUGCUCUGUUUUCACUGUGGGUGGUGGCUAAAGGCCUCUGUUAAUCGGGAUUAGGUCACAUUUCGCGGGCCGCUGCUGUGCUGAAUGUUCUCAAGCCAUAUAAAAAAAGAUGCUUUGGAAUCGGAACAGCCAUUGUAGUGGAUGCCGGCUUGAGAAAGCGACAGUCAGGCGCAGGAAUCGAUGAGCACACUCUGCAGAUUACAAAAGGUGAAUUGAUGUGCAACCCAGGAUGAAGAAUUUGUAAUAAGACAACUGUUUGGUUUUUGGUUUUUGUACAAUAUUAUUUUUUAAGGACUCAGAGAGGGAGUGUCGUUUUUUUGUUUUUUUUUUUAGCUUUUGUUUCACCUUUGCAAUUAUUUACUUUCAAAUAGCCCUUCAGGGUAAUGUUCCAUUUUCUUAUUCCGCGCCCCCCCCCCCCCCCACCCACCUCAUAAAUGCACCAACAUGGCGGUAAAUCACUGCACAAACACAGACUUACACGCACGAUGAAAGGGCCCAAGAUUUAUGUAACACAUUCAUAGUUCCCACUUUUACAUUUCAGUACUACGCUUGCAGAGCCCGACUAAUAAUAGCCACUAAUAAUAUUUCUUGUUGCCUAGCAACGGGCACAAGUAAUAGCUUACUCUGGAAAAAUAGAUGACCGAUAAGAAAGAAAGAGGAGGGAAAAAGGGUGGUGGGAGUAUAGGGGGUGGGGGGUGGGGGUGAUUUCAAUUCAUUUAUUAUCUGCUGGGACAAGAGGAGCUUAUUUCUCAGGCUGUGGAAUAGGAAAGUAGGCUGUGUAUGGAGAAAUAUUUCAAGAAAUUGAAGAUGACGUUGUUUUCAUUUCGUUUCCAUUAGGGAUGUUUCAUUUGAUGUUUCCUCUCGCAAAGUCAAUUAACCUUAAUUUCAUACUGAUAAGGAUAUAAUAAGUGAGAUUGAAUUUCUGAAUGCUUAAGGAAAAUGAGCGUAGAUUGGGAGAAAAAAAAAAGGCUCUCGGUCUCGGUGUGACUGGUCACGUAUGAAAGAAAAACAACACUCGGGGCUGCAUUGACAACCAAAAUACUAAUCGUUUGCCGACUUGUUCACCAUCAGUUAAAAAAAAAAGGGCAAGUAAAAAGCUGUACCUUAAGGAUACACUUCUCUGCAAUAAAAGCUAUCCUUCAGUGCACAAAUAAACCUCCUCCAAGUACAAGCUCAGCUGGAGCAGCAGAUUCGCCUCUUCUCAAGGGAUGUUGUUGCUGGUUUUUGUACAACAUGUAGCCUUAGGCUAAAGCUCUGUAAACUUCUCCCUGCUUUGGGAUUCUCUUUCUCAGCGCACAUCGAUCCUACAGCAAGCAGAGUUAAAUCAUUUCAGGAAUGAGAGCAGUGGAUUGACCAACACCCAUGCUGCUUAGGCAUAAAAUGUGCACUUGAAAUCGCGUCGCGCAAGAGUCCGAUUCAUCCUGCCGGCCUCUUUUUAUGUUUGGGACGCCACGUGCAGAGCACGAAUGAACUGGAACUUCCAAGGUGUGUUGAAAAUUGACGCUGAGGCACGAGUGGUCGGAAUGUGAUGUACAGCAAGACGUUGAUGGUCCCAUUUUUGUGUGUAUUGCUGUGCAAAUUCAUUUAGACAUUUUUAGACGGCGAUAGGUAAGAGCAUUUGCAAUGAAUUGAGGCUCCGCUCCAUUUCAGUUUGAGGGGCGAGUUAUUGCUCGUGGUUGUGCAUAACUGCAGAUGUAAAUAUAUUUCAGCCUAUGUCCACAAGUAUUAAAACGUACCGUAUUUUCCGCACUAAAAGCUUUACUGGAGGUGCACCUUCAAUGAAUGGCCUGUUUUGUAAUUGUUUUUCAUAUAUUGGAGGCACUGGAUUAUAAGGCGCAAUCUACAAUGCAUCCACUAGAUGGAGCAACGCUCCUUCCGUUCGACUCGAGAGGCGUUCAUGACCACCUCCGAAAAACGUAAAUUAACGAUUACUUCAAUGAACCUACGAAAAUUGAAAAUAAUCUGUUAAAACAGAAAAUCAAGUGAGUAAAUCACAAAAUAAAUUCUAUAGCUCCCCCCCCUACAGAUUUUUUUGGGGGCAUUUCCUUGAGCUUAGAUAGAACAGAACGCUUAGAUGUCAGUAAAAUAUAGGAGACUGCACUGCCUCAGAAGUGUUUGUUAUUUAUUCCUUUUUUGUGUACUGUAUUCACAAAUGAGUAUUCACAAACAGGUAUUACCGUAAUGACCAUAAACAAGGCGCACCGGAUUUUAGGGCGCGCUGUGAGCUUUUAAGAAAAUGGAAGACUUUUCGGUGCUCCUUAUAGUGCGGAAAAUACGGUACUAGUUGGCUGACCUGAUGCUAGAUAGAAACAAUUAUUAAGACUGAAUAUCAUACGGGAGCUGCAUCAAAUUGUACGGCUUUACAAAAGUACUGAUCUGUCAUCUCUCGGUGAUGUAUUGAUUUAAUUUAACAAGAUGUUUGUUACUGUGCGUAUACUUUGCCUGUAGUGGUGUAGAACUGAAUCAUCAUAAAAUUUGAGUCUAAUAAUGCCUUUUCUCAUGUGACUGACCAAAGAACUCGAUGUAUUAGACAAAGCUCAACUCUUUGUCAGGGCUGAAUAUUUGACACUGGAUAUCGUGAUUUUGUGCACGCCUUCGUAAGACUGCAACUGGUGGCUGGUAUACAGUACCGUGCCGAACUCCUAAGCCAGCCUUUGUUUUUCGAAAGCUAUAAUAACGUCAUUCCCAGACACUGGGCGCUAUUUAGAGCUUUGCUUACAUUGUCGUAGCUCCUCCCCUUCCAAGCUGAACGACUGCUUCAGUGAGUGUGAAUCAAGGCAGAGAAAGACCAGUCUUGGAUGAGCACAAACUGCGAAAUGUAACAUGCUGGCGUGUGAAUGUUCAGCACUUUCCGGAGAAUCCCUGUCUCAUCCUUCGCUGUCAGGAUGUCUGCCAGCUCGGGAAGAGGUGGCACUCAUGGGUCUCGUGUUCAACAAGCCCCCUGAUCAUUCGGGUCUGCUUGAGGCUGCUGUUGGCGUUGUGUGCGAAAAGGGAUGCCAGCAAGCUCUCACUCUUUGAUAAGAUAAAGCAGGAGGGACAGAAGACAGUAAUGAGAGGUCCUGGAGGGACCCGAAAUAGCGUCUUAAGGGGCACAGCGGCGUUUAAAUAUUGUAAACAUUGCACCGACCCCUGUCUCAUUACUGCUGUAAUGAGGCUAGUUAAAGGGAGGCCAAAGCCAUGACUGCCAGAAAAACAGCUGCCAGUUUCUAACAACUAUGUGCCACACACUUGACUCACAGAACUCCCACUCACAUUGACAAGAUGGACAGAGUUAAAAACUCAUUAAGGCUUCGUCUGAUCAAUCCGUGCGUUGUUUGAGAUAACGCCGUUCGGGUGAAGAAGAGACCUACAAUACAAAUUGUUUCAUGAAAUAAAAUUGGCAUUGGGGACGGCCUAAAUGAAAGAUUCUGGGUUCAAACUUUAACUGUGCUUGCGGACGUAUUCUGUAAACUUCCAGCCCCGUUCACGAAGCAUAAGUCAAUUGAAGACUCUAAAUCAGGGGGUCUCAAAAUGUGCGGUGUUGGUGCCAUUUGCGGCCUGCCGGCCAUUUGCCCACAGGAUGAUAUUUUGCAGCCUCCUUCCUUCAUGACAUCAGAGUUUAGUGUUAGUGCGGCCCCUUGCGUUUUGGGAAUGUGUGAGGGUGUGUGUGUGUGUUUCGCCUCUGAUACAAUACAUUCAUUCAUCCAUUCAUUUUCCGAUCGGCUUAUCCUCACAAGCGUCGCUGCUGGAGCCUAUCCCAGCUGUCUUCGGGUAGUAGGCGGAGGACACCCUGAACUGGUUGCCAGCCAAUCGCAGGGCACAACCAUCUGCGCUCACACUCACACCUAGGAACAAUUUAGAGCCUCAGCCUGCCAUGCUUGUUUUUGGAUUGUGUGAGGAAACCGGAGCACCCGGAGAAAACCCACGCACAUCUGGGGAGAAAAUGCAAACACCACACAGAGAGGCCGGAGCUGGAAUUGAACCCGGUACCUCUGCACUGUGAGGUCGACGCGCUAACCACUGGACCACCGGGCCGCCCUUAUACAAUACAAUACAUUCAUUCAUUCAUUCAUCUUCCGAGCCGCUUGAUCCUCACUAGGGUCGCGGGGGGUACUGGAGCCUAUCCCAGCUGUCUUCGGGCAGUAGGCGGGGGACACCCUGAAUCGGUUGCCAGCCAAUCGCAGGGCACACUGAAACGAACAACCAUUCGCACUCACACUCACACCUAGGGACAAUUUAGAGUGUUCAAUCAGCCUGCCACGCAUGUUUUUGGAAUGUGGGAGGAAACCGGAGUACCCGCAGAAAACCCACGCAGGCCCGGGGAGAACAUGCAAACUCCACACAGGGAGGCCGGAGCUAGAAUCGAACCUGGUACCUCUGCACUGUGAAGCCGACCCAACCGGGCCGCCCCAAUACAAUACAAUAUUUAUUUAUAUAGCGCUUUCACUUAUGGGCUACCAUAGCUAAGGUUCAUGAUAGCUUUCGGCAAAACAUAAUUCUAAAAUGAAUAAAGUGGAAGAAAAAGAUUUCCUCUCACUCAGUCCCUGUCAUGUAGUUUUUUUUAAAUCUGCAGUGAAGAGAAAGGUCAUGAGGAGAACAGCUAAUUUUAAGAAAAAACAGGAGACGGAAUGUUUCUUUGUUGAGCGCAGGGGCACCCCGACAUGUCUUGAAUGUGGAGAGAAAGUUGAGGUGCUCAAGAAAUCAGAUAUCAUCACUCAACUAGACAUGCUGAGCAGUGCUUUAAGAGCCGCUAUGCACCGGUACGGCGUACCAGCACUUCUCCAUUUUAGCCUCCAGCGUACCGGGACUUUUUACGGCGUACCUGGACUUCACAUAAGCCCCGAGUGCACUCUCUUGGUCUGUUUCUCUCUGACGCUUUUUUGAAACGAGACAGUUUCGGGUAGCGAUGUGUCGGUCGCGAACGAAACAGUUCUUCGAGCUUCAAAAGACGAUCGUUCACUUCAGAGAGCCUACACGCUAUUGUCAAUUUGACUCUUGACUGCACGGAUUCAAAGUGGCGGCAGUUACGGUGCACAGUGGAGGAGAAGGAAGGCCAGAGAACAGAGACAAACAGAGCAAGGAGUGGCCACACGAACUCGCUCGUAAGGUAGAGUUCAGAUAAUAACGGACACCAGACAAAGAAAGUCAAUCUCGAGAUAUUUUAAUUAUGUCGGGGCAGACUGUAAAGCCUGCAAGGAAAAAUAUUCUGAUAUUAUUGAAGGUUCCAGUCUAUCUAAUACAAACUGUUGCUACAUACUUACAUAUACAUUUACCGGUAAAUUAAUCCGGAUUUUUUUUUUCUGCCCACAAUUGGCAUUGGCCCUUAAAAAAAUGGUCGUGCCGUAAUUGAUGCUGCGUCUGUCCAGUGCCCACUUAUGUGAAGUUGCGCAACUUAUUGAUGAUUUUACUUUUGGUAUAGCUUUUGAGAUGCUCCACCUUAUAUUGUCAACACGACAAUAUCUAAACAUGACAUACUAAAAAUACGUUUCAUGGCGUUCUCUUGUUUACCACAUGAUCAAAUCUGGUUCAACAUCCUAAUUCAUUGAUUGUACAUGCACAGCAUGCAGCGAUGUCGAUGAAUGAAAUGCCAUUUGUUUUCUAAAAUGUAAUUUAUAUACUGUAUACAGUAUAUAGUACUGGAUAUACCAUAAUACAAAUCAGCUUCUCAGUGGGUAAUGAUAUUGUACAUUGGCGUAUUUUUCAAGUACUUUUCUCUUACAUACACAUUGUGAUGAACCUAGAUGUCUAGUACAUCAAUUAUUGCGCAAUCGCUAUGUGGUAUUAUCAUUGGUUGUGUGGUUUUCCACUUUGCGCAGAAAUACAGCAUGCAUUUUCAAAUGCACUGUAAUGUAAUUAAACCGUAGGUUUGUGUGCGUUUGCGUGUGUGUGUGUGUGUGUGUGUGUGUGCAUGCGUGUGUGUGCGCGCGCAUGUCAGACAUUGUCAGAGUCACUGAUCGCUACAAGGUUAUGUGAGCUUUAUUCCAUUCGACUUCAUUUACUGUAAUCUGACAGGAAAUUUAUUUUGCAUCACUUGGCAUUUAGGACAGGGGCGACAAUGAGGGGAAUACCAAUUCUAAAACAGUGACAUAAAAUCGAUGCAGACUACUGUGUUUAUUUGCGGUUUCCAGAUUGUUAGAUUGUGGCCCAAUGGAGCAAUUAUAAAGGUCAGAAUUGGUGGAUCAACAGCGCAGAAAUCACUGUUGUGAAUCCUCUUAGAGGAGUGACACAUUUACAUCAUUGAUUAUGCAGCCAUAAAAAAAAAAAAAAAGUAGACGGUACAAUGUAUAUUGCCUAAACUGCAGUACAUCCAUCACAAGUAAAUCCUGUGUGAUCACUCUGACUGCCAAAAGGCACAUUAAAUUGGUCUGGCUACGUUUCCAUACAACUACGUUUCCUUUGAAAUAAAGCAUCAAAGGAAAUAUGAAUGUAAAAAAAAAAAGUGGCAGCAAAUUGCAGUUUGCACUUGACUUGACAUGUUCAUUGCUUGCUUGGAUUACUUGUAUUUAUUGAAACAGCUGUCUUUAUUUCCAAAGGUUUGAGACAUAUCUCAUAUGACCCGCAUGCUCUGCUGCCUUCCACUGGGGCAGAUAUGACAUCUUGGUGACAUUCGCAGAUAAAUCACUUUUUGGUGCAGUAGAAAUGUUUUUCUGUUGUGUCUUUUCAUUUCAUUAAAAAAAAAAAAAAAAGAA